Solanum pennellii is the source of this 542-nucleotide long non-coding RNA. RefSeq lists it as uncharacterized. The transcript is spliced from 2 exons. Lineage: Eukaryota; Viridiplantae; Streptophyta; Magnoliopsida; Solanales; Solanaceae. The record is from RefSeq and is a predicted model, not a curated record.
GCCAGGGGGCGCGUCGCCCCCCUGGACCCCCCGACUCGCUGACCGGGCAGCGAGACCCCCGUCCUUUCUGUUUGUAACGGGUCCAAUUCAAGGCAUUCAACAAAAGUAAAGCUUGUUCUAGUUUUGCUUGAAACAUCACAUCUUUUCUUCGUUCAUAUCACUUCCGUCAAGCUUCGUGGGUUCAAAGGUCUCCUUCGCUCUCCUUAUCGCAUCCAGCUGCCCGCUAUAAGCAUUUCGAGAGAUCCAUGAAGGCUAAACUCCCUCCUAUCGAGUAUAAGCAGCCAUCAACCGAUGAAUAGGUCCCGGAGUAAGAAAGAUCCAGAAAUCCAAGGAGUUGAAGUUAUUGUCUAAAAAGACUCCAAAGUUCUAUUAUGAAAAUUUGUAUUUUUGGGUCUAAGCCCUUGUUGUAUUUCUUUUCCGCAUUUACUAUUUUUGUGUAAUUUGUUCAGGACAUGUGGAAAUGGGUCAAAAACCCAAAAAUAAAGUGGGUCCAAAUACCGGUCAAGGCAUACGGGUUUGGACCCGAUCUCUCUCUCUCUCUC